UACGGGGGGGGGCAAGCGUUGUUCGGAAUUACUGGGCGUAAAGGGCUCGUAGGCGGCCAACUAAGUCAGACGUGAAAUCCCCAGGCUCAACCUGGGAACUGCGUCUGAUACUGGAUGGCUUGAAUCCGGGAGAGGGAUGCAGAAUUCCAGGUGUAGCGGUGAAAUGCGUAGAUAUCUGGAGGAAUACCGGUGGCGAAGGCGGCAUCCUGGACCGGCAUUGACGCUGAACGGCGAAAGCUAGGGGAGCAAACGGG
This 254-nucleotide ribosomal RNA is filed under the name uncultured bacterium. RNAcentral's name for it is "partial 16S ribosomal RNA". It matches the Rfam family "Bacterial small subunit ribosomal RNA", at positions 524 to 776 of the family's 1533-position model. The record is from RNAcentral.